GACGAACGCUGGCGGCGUGCUUAACACAUGCAAGUCGAACGGAAAGGCCCUGCUUUUGUGGGGUGCUCGAGUGGCGAACGGGUGAGUAACACGUGAGUAACCUGCCCUUGACUUUGGGAUAACUUCAGGAAACUGGGGCUAAUACCGGAUAGGAGCUCCUGCUGCAUGGUGGGGGUUGGAAAGUUUCGGCGGUUGGGGAUGGACUCGCGGCUUAUCAGCUUGUUGGUGGGGUAGUGGCUUACCAAGGCUUUGACGGGUAGCCGGCCUGAGAGGGUGACCGGCCACAUUGGGACUGAGAUAAGGCCCAGACUCCUACGGGAGGCAGCAGUGGGGAAUAGUGCACAAUGGGCGGAAGCCUGAUGCAGCAACGCCGCGGGCGGGAUGACGGCCUUCGGGUUGUAAACCGCUUUCGCCUGUGACGAAGCGUGAGUGACGGUAAUGGGUAAAGAAGCACCGGCUAACUACGUG
Molecule: ribosomal RNA, 468 nt
Filed under: uncultured bacterium
Lineage: Bacteria
Description: partial 16S ribosomal RNA
Rfam family: Bacterial small subunit ribosomal RNA
Source: RNAcentral